Molecule: non-coding RNA, 73 nt
Organism: Trichonephila clavipes
Lineage: Eukaryota; Metazoa; Arthropoda; Arachnida; Araneae; Nephilidae
Source: the annotation of a GenBank genome assembly
GUCCCAGUAGUGCACUGGAUAGCGCUUUGGACUUCUAAUCCAAAGGUCGAGAGUUCGAAUCUCACCUGGAAUG